RNAcentral lists this ribosomal RNA (253 nucleotides) under uncultured bacterium. Its description in RNAcentral is "partial 16S ribosomal RNA". It matches the Rfam family "Bacterial small subunit ribosomal RNA", at positions 524 to 776 of the family's 1533-position model. The record is from RNAcentral.
UACAGAGGCCACGAGCGUUAAUCGGAAUCACUGGGCUUAAAGGGUGCGUAGGCGGGCUCGUAAGCGUCUUGUGAAAGCCCCCGGCUCAACCGGGGAACUGCAGGGCGAACUACGAGUCUUGAGGUAGGUAAGGGCUGUUAGAACAGUAGGUGGAGCGGUGAAAUGCGUAGAGAUCUACUGGAAUGCCGAUGGAGAAGUCGAGCAGCUGGGCCUUACCUGACGCUGAGGCACGAAAGCGUGGGGAGCAAACAGG